UACGUAGGUGGCAAGCGUUGUCCGGAAUUACUGGGCGUAAAGCGUGCGCAGGCGGUUCGUUGUGUCUGAUGUGAAAGCCCCGGGCUUAACCUGGGAAUGGCAUUGGAAACUGGCGAGCUGGAGUGUGGCAGAGGGGGGUGGAAUUCCGCGUGUAGCAGUGAAAUGCGUAGAGAUGCGGAGGAACACCGAUGGCGAAGGCAGCCCCCUGGGCCAACACUGACGCUCAGGCACGAAAGCGUGGGGAGCAAACAGG
Molecule: ribosomal RNA, 253 nt
Filed under: uncultured bacterium
Lineage: Bacteria
Description: partial 16S ribosomal RNA
Rfam family: Bacterial small subunit ribosomal RNA
Source: RNAcentral